CGCGGGGUGGAGCAGUUCGGUAGCUCGUCGGGCUCAUAACCCGAAGGUCACAGGUUCAAAUCCUGUCCCCGCAACCA
This 77-nucleotide transfer RNA is filed under the name Moraxella catarrhalis. Its description in RNAcentral is "tRNA-Met". It matches the Rfam family "tRNA". From Rfam's summary of the family: Transfer RNA (tRNA) molecules are approximately 80 nucleotides in length. Their secondary structure includes four short double-helical elements and three loops (D, anti-codon, and T loops). Further hydrogen bonds mediate the characteristic L-shaped molecular structure. tRNAs have two regions of fundamental functional importance: the anti-codon, which is responsible for specific mRNA codon recognition, and the 3' end, to which the tRNAs corresponding amino acid is attached (by aminoacyl-tRNA synthetases). tRNAs cope with the degeneracy of the genetic code in two manners: having more than one tRNA (with a specific anti-codon) for a particular amino acid; and 'wobble' base-pairing, i.e. permitting non-standard base-pairing at the 3rd anti-codon position. The record is from RNAcentral. RNAcentral also lists the same sequence under 95 other names. Lineage: Bacteria; Pseudomonadati; Pseudomonadota; Gammaproteobacteria; Moraxellales; Moraxellaceae.